GGCCGUUUGGUGUAGUGGCUAUCACAUAUCUUUAACACCGAUAAGGUCCUGAGUUCGAUCCUCAGAAUGGUCA
RNAcentral lists this transfer RNA (73 nucleotides) under Friedmanniomyces endolithicus. RNAcentral describes it as "tRNA-Val". Lineage: Eukaryota; Fungi; Ascomycota; Dothideomycetes; Mycosphaerellales; Teratosphaeriaceae. The record is from RNAcentral.